Molecule: long non-coding RNA, 537 nt
Organism: Ctenopharyngodon idella (grass carp)
Lineage: Eukaryota; Metazoa; Chordata; Actinopteri; Cypriniformes; Xenocyprididae
Exons: 3
Source: RefSeq, a predicted model, not a curated record
GUCUCGAACUGAGAAAAGCUCUUCUGACUGAUAACAUACCCGUCCUCGAUCAUCACCUUCAGCUCGUACGUCUGACGGACACAGCAGUGGAAAAGCAUGUCAUGUGGACACUAGAGGGUUCAUCUACUGUAUCUAUGAAGGCAGCUCUCUACGCUCCACUAAACAAACACAGCCUUCCUGUGGAAGUGUACUUCAGCUCAUUUUUAUUGAUGCUGGAGUACCUCAAAGAAGCCAAUGAUUCAGGUCUUCCUGAAGGAAACUCACCACGUCUUUGCCGCUGACGGUGUAUUUCUGGAUCACGGCUUCCUGAAUGUUGGAGCUGGAGGAGAUCCGGCUGUCAGCGAGCGGCUCGGACCGUCUGACGGAGGAAAACUGAACCAUAUUGUGGAUGAGGAAGUUCAACUUGACAGGAAUAAAAUUGUGGUGUGAGAAGAACAUGAUCGAGUCACUGCUGAAAGAGUCUUACAGAUGCGUAAAGAUCUACUGAAAUCUUGAUCAGAUCUUUAAAAUAAAAAUAUAAAAUCCACAUACCACAAA